AGAUAGCACGGGACAGUGACCAGUGUAAAGAACAGCUCAACGAAGCAGAAGCCCUGUAUAAACAGUUGGCCGUCAUCGAAGGCAAUAAUAAGGAAGCCUGGCGUCGUACAAAAAAGAAC
Molecule: long non-coding RNA, 119 nt
Organism: Ornithodoros turicata
Lineage: Eukaryota; Metazoa; Arthropoda; Arachnida; Ixodida; Argasidae
Exons: 3
Source: RefSeq, a predicted model, not a curated record